CGACUCCAUGAAGCUGGAUUCGCUAGUAAUCGCGCAUCAGCCACGGCGCGGUGAAUACGUUCCCGGGCCUUGUACACACCGCCCGUCAAGCCAUGGAAGCCGGGAGUGCCUGAAGUGCGUGAGCGCAAGCAGCGCCCUAAGGUAAAACCGGUGACUGGGGCUAAGUCGUAACAAGGUAAC
This 180-nucleotide ribosomal RNA is filed under the name uncultured bacterium. RNAcentral's name for it is "partial 16S ribosomal RNA". It matches the Rfam family "Bacterial small subunit ribosomal RNA", at positions 1313 to 1500 of the family's 1533-position model. The record is from RNAcentral.